RNAcentral lists this ribosomal RNA (135 nucleotides) under uncultured bacterium. RNAcentral's name for it is "partial 16S ribosomal RNA". The record is from RNAcentral.
CACGGAGUUAGCCGGGGCUUAUUCUCCCGGUACAGUCAUUAUCUUCCCGGGUAAAAGAGCUUUACAACCCUAAGGCCUUCAUCACUCACGCGGCAUUGCUGGAUCAGGCUUUCGCCCAUUGUCCAAAAUUCCCCA